RNAcentral lists this ribosomal RNA (165 nucleotides) under uncultured bacterium. RNAcentral describes it as "partial 16S ribosomal RNA". It matches the Rfam family "Bacterial small subunit ribosomal RNA", at positions 359 to 525 of the family's 1533-position model. The record is from RNAcentral.
GGAUGCAUGGGCGAGCCUGAUGCAGCCUGCCGCGUGUGUGAAGAAGGCCUUCGGGUUGUAAAGCACUUUCAGUAGGGAGGAAGGUGUUGUCGUUAAUAGCGGCAUCCUUUGACGUUACCUACGGAAGAAGCACCGGCUAUAUCCGUGCCAGCAGCCGCGGUAAUA